UUUAGAAUUAAUUUGGUGAUCAAAAGGAGACUAAUUAAAUAUAUGGGGUUGAUUGUGUAAAUCAUCCAUUCUUUUAUAGUGGGAUAAUGAUCCAUGAUUUAUUGAAUUGGGCUAAAACCCAUAAGGUGCUCCAUGGAUAGUCCGUGGAGGUUAUAAACCCAUGGAUCAUGGAAUAUGACAGGCCAUGUCAAAUAGAGUUUACAUGUUGUAACCCUACUUGUGCCACAACUAUAAAAGGACCUCAUGGCUAGCAAAAUCAGCACUACUAAGAUAGAACAAGAGGGCUAGCCGAUUUUGAGUGUUAGUGAACUUCUCUCAAGGUUAUUCCAAGAGUUGUGGUGUUGUGUGAAACAUUUGAGGCAUCACACUUGAGGUUCUAGGCUCACAAGGUUCUCAAGGAAUCCAAGCAACAAGAAAGAUAUGUUCUCCUAAUAGCUUUUAUGUUUCAAAGUUCCACAUGCCAUGAUAGUUAGGUUAAGAACCUUGGAAAAUUAAAUUUGCAUGUAUCUUAGUAAAACAUAGAUCCAAGGUUUCUAGGGUUGCAUGUACACCUUAGGAGUGUUAGAAUGCUCAUAAACCCUUCAGUGGUAUCAUAGACUAGGCUUGUUUUCUUGAUACUUGAUGCAAAUUGUUGAAAAAACUCAAGAUUUAUGCAUUCUGCUGAGUGAACUCGUCGAGUUCAUGGGGGGUGGGGGGGCUCGACGAGUCCAUGUGUUAAUUCAUCCUACUCGUUGAGUAGGCUCUUGCACUCGAUGUGUAGGAGGCCCUGAAUGCAAAUUUUCGAGUUUUGCUGCUGGAAAUGGACUAGAAACAUUACCCUAAACUGUUUUGGUCUUAUAAAACUUGUUUUAGAUGGUGUAAUGGUUAUGCUAAUCCAUUUUCAAUAGCUAUUAUCAAAAUUUCAAGUCUUAUAUGUGUUUUUUAUGAUUCUUGAAAUUGUUGAUAUGAAUGUUCAUGAACUGAUGAGUAUGGUAGAUCAUAGGAAUUAUUUUGUUAGUUUAAUUCUUAAUCAUGAUGUGUUUUAAUGGAAUCCAUAAUUUUACCUCAAGUUAUGGAUUACCAAAAGCCUUUCUUUUAAAGUCCAUUAAUAAACACAUAGGUUACAUAAAAUGAAAAGUCUCUCGUUUUAAUAAACCAUUAACUCAUAAGUUAUGAAAGAUGAAAAGUUUUGAACGUUACAAAACUUGCCCUCACGUUUUGGAACAUGUAAAGUCACUUUAAAAACUUUAGUUCCAACCCCUAGAAUUUUAAAAGUUAAAAUUCAACCCUUAUACUUUAUAAUAUUAUAAGUUUANNNNNNNNNNNGGGGUAUAAGGUUGUUGCCUAUAAAAUGAUAGCUUAAUGGGUGUCCACUCUCACCCAUCGCUUCCUUGAUUGGGGGAGGGUCGUUAGCCGAACGGGUAGAACAAUGAAUUUAAUCCUCAUUAAAAGUAUGAUGGUUAUAAAAUAACUAAAUGUUUUAUAAAUUCCCAAUCUUAGUUACUUUAGAAAAAUGUGAAUAUGGUGCUAACCCAUGAAAUUACACUUUGCACUUUGCUUAAGUCAUUAGUGGAGCGUGUGUGGUUAACCAACACACUUACCUGGACUUAACAAGUUAGGCAAAGGGUGGCUUAAGGUUUAUCAUAGAUCGGUGGAGCGCGUGUGGUUAACCGGCACAUCGGUUAGGUGAUAAACAUUAAGAAUACCAAGCAAUUUGCAUGGUUAAUUCACACCCUGUUUUGUGAUCCUCGGCAUCCCAGUCAUAAAACUUGAAUGGCACAUUCGAGAUUGAACAUGUCGUUGAAAAGUUCAAUGAAUCUCAAAGAAUCUAGGAGUUUCCAAACUAAUUAAAACCUAAUAAUAUAUUUCGUUUUUCAUGGUGGAAAUUGGUGAAUCGUCAUUCACCUACCUUCAAAUAUUUUAUAGCUUGGAUUAUGGCAUCCCUCUUUUCAGUUAUAAAAUAUUGUGUUGGGUCCUAUCCUUAAUAUUACAUUUGGGUGUCUUAUUAAGGACUAUCUUUAUAUCUAAUCUAAACUUGUCUUUCUUCUUUUUCAUAUGUCUUCCAACAAUGCUGCUUCUGGCUCAAACCCUAUCAGCUCCUUCUCUCUCAUGAACCUUUGUGGGAGAGUCGUCUUUGAAGAUUCCAACUUUAUGGAUUGGAUCCGGAACAUCAUGAUAGUCACUCAUUACGAGGACAAGGAAUAUGUCCUCGACAAGGAGCUUAAGGAACUUGAUGAGUCUUCUACUACUCUUGAGGAGAUCACUGAAUUUCGGACUCAUGAGAGAGAUGCCACCAAAGUGGCAUGUAUCAUGUUGGCCGCAAUGACAUCCGAGCUCCAAAAGUCCUAUGAGGACUUCUACCCUUUUGAGAUGCACUAGGACUUGGUGGACCGCUACCAUUAGAGUGCUCGUCAAGAGCAGUAUGAAAUCAUCUCCUCCAUGAUAACAACCCGAAUGAAGGAUGGUGAAACCAUCAUGGGCCACAUGCAGAAUAUGCAAAGGUAUGUGGAACAUUUGCUAAAAUUGAAUGUGAACUUCCCUGAGGAGUUGGCAAUUGACAUCAUUUUGCACUCCUUACCUUCGUGUUACAAUCAAUUCCGAAUGACAUACCACAUGAACAAUGAGGAAGUUACACUCAGCAAACUUCAAGGACUCUUGAAGACCGCCGAAAGUGGUGUUAAGGGUAAAUCGGUUGUUACCACUCCUACUCCAACCGCGACCCCUGUCUUGGCAAUCAGGCAAGGUAAAAGAGAAGAAGAGGAAGACCCAUUUGAAGGGUACCAAGGGAAAGUCCCUUGAUGGAUACUCUUCAAGUAGAACCAAAAGAGGUUCUAUCACUCCUUCUGCCAACCCUAAAGAGGUUGAAUGCUUCUAUUGCCAUGAAAGGUCGCACUAGAAGUGAAACUGCCCAAAGUACCUGCAAGAUGUUAAGGAUGGGAAAGUAAAACCCAACCAUGCGGGUAUUUACACUAUAUUGUCUAACAACUCACCCCAUUCUAAGUCUUGGGUCCUUGAUACUGGUUAUGGUAUUCACAUAUGUUCUGAUUUGCAGGGACUCAGAAGAAGUGAGAAUCUGGAGCAUGAGAAGAUAAACUUAAUCAUGGGGAAUAGGAAAGCUUCACCUGUCUCCAAGAUUGGAGUUUAUUCUUUGUUGCUAAGCAGUGGGUUAACAUUAGAUUUGAAUAAAUUUUGUUACUUGUCUGAAAUGGCGAAAAAUAUUAUUUCCUUUCAUGGUUUGUACAAACAAGGCUUUACCUUUUCGUUUGAUAAUGAAUGUGGUGGUAUUAAUGCUUUCUUUAAUAAUGUUCUUUAUUUUAAAGCAUUACCUUGUGAUGGUGUGUAUGAAAUUGUGUCGGUUGUUGAUAACCUAGGGAAUAAUGUGUUGUGUAUUAAUUCUUCCACUAACUUGGAUAAAGCAUCAUUAUGGCUUUUCGUCUUGGACAUAUAAGCAAGAAACGCAUAGGCCAGCUCCAAAAGGAUAGAGUCUUUGAGUCAUUUGACCUAAAGUCGGAUGAUAGUUGUGAAUCUUGUUUACUUGGGAAAAUGACAAAGUCACCCUUCACUAGUACUUGUGCUAGGGGUGAGGCAUUGUUGGAUCUCAUACAUAAUGAUGUGUGUGGACCCUUCAGAACCGCCACAAGGGAUGCUAACCGCUUCUAUGUGACUUUUACUGAUGAUUAUAAUAGAUAUGGAUAUGUCUAAUUAAUCAAGCAUAAGUCAGAAGCCUUUGAAAAGUUCAAGGAGUUUAAACAGGAAGUGGAGAAUCAGUUGGGCAGGAACAUUAAGAUGCUUCGAUCCGAUCGAGGUGUUAAGUAUCUUAGUAAAGAUCUCCUUGACUAUCUUAAGGAAUGUGGGAUUGUCUCACAAUUGACACCUUCCAGGACACCACAGCUUUAUGGUGUGGAUGAGAGGCGUAAUCGAACCUUGUUGGAUUUGGUUCGUUCCAUGAUGAGUCGAGCUUCGCUACCAAUCUCAUUUUGAGGAUAUGCCACAGAGUCUUCCGCCCAUAUCCUUAAUCUAGUCCCUACAAAGAAGGUUGCCAAAACACCUCACGAGAUGUGGAAUGGAAAAGUUCCCAAUCUGGACCACAUCAAGAUUUGGGGUUGCGAGGCUUUCGUGAGGUGUGAGACUCACGAUAAGCUCGAACCCCAAAGUGAUAGGUGUAUUUUCAUCGGCUACCCACAGAAAUCCUUUGGUUAUCUCUUCUACAGACCUAGUGAUAAUGUGGUCUUUGUAGCAAUGAGAGGGGUAUUUCGCGAGAGAGAGUUCAUAAGUCAAGGAAACAGUGAGAGGCAAAUUGAGCUUGAAGAAAUUCAAGAUUCAAGUGGUGAAGGAACCUCAAACCCUAGCAAUCAACCUGAGGAAGAAAAUCUUGUUGAUCCGACUAACGAGUCCAUACCUCUGAGGCGUUCCACAAGAUUUAGGAAUGCACCUGAGCAUUACUAUGGUUUCCAUAUUACUGUGGAAGGUGAUACACUUAUCAGUGAUAAUACAUUGGUAAGUCUGGAUGAACCUAACAACUACACGGAAUCCAUGGCAGGCCCUGAGUCUGCUAAAUGGAAAGAGGCUAUGGAUAGCGAGAUACAAUCCAUGUAUGACAAUCAAGUUUGGAACUUGGUUGACAAUGUAACAGGUCGCAAGACAGUCGGGUGCAAAUGGAUCUUCAAGAAGAAGACUGCCAUGGAUGGUAAUGUACACACUUAUAAGGCAUGACUAGUUACAAAGGGCUUUUCUCAAACUCCGGGAGUUGGUUCUGAUGAGAACUUUUCAGCAGUAGCAAAGAUUAAGUCUAUUAGGGUUAUGUUAGCCAUUGUUGCAUUUCAUGAUUAUGAAAUACGGUAAAUAGAUAUCAAAACCGCUUUCCUUAAUGGAAGGUUGGCUGAGGAUGUUUACAUGAGUCAGCCAGAGGGUUUUGUCAGUAUAGAGUACCCUAAUAGAGUAUGUAAGCUUGAGAAAUCCAUCUAUGGAUUAAAACAAGUACCUCACAGAUGAAAUCUUUGUUUCGAUGAGAAAGUCAAAGAUUUUGGCUUUUCGAGGAGCGAAGAUGAAUCUUGUGUAUAUGUCAAGGCUAGUUAGAGUAUAGUUAGCCUUUUGGUAUUGUAUGUGGAUGACAUACUACUCAUAGGAAAUGACAUCCCAACUCUCCAGGAAGUGAAGUCCUGGUUUGGGAAGUGUUUCGCUAUGAAGGACCUUGGUGAAGCUACCUAUAUCCUAGGGAUAAGGCUUUUGAGAGACAGGAGUAAGAGACUAAUUGGACUUAGUCAGAGUACCUACUUGGAUAAGGUGCUGAAUAGGUUCAGCAUGCAAAAUUCCCAGAAAGGAGGAUUACUGAUCCUGAGUAACACCAGAUUGAGUAAGACUUAGAGCCCGAGUACAGAGGCUGAGAUAGCAAAGAUGAGUCGAGUACCGUUUGCUUCCGCUGUAGGCUCGAUCAUGUAUGCUAUAACUUGUACUCGUCCUGAUGUGGCCUUUGCUUUAAGCAUGGUUAGCGGAUAUCAGGGGAACCCUGGCAAGGCUCACUUGACUGCGAUAAAGAAAAUUCUUAAGUACAUGCAGAGGACUAAGGACUGGGUCCUUACCCUCAGUGGGAGUGAUGACUUGAGAGUAGUAGGGUAUAGUGAUGCUAGCUUCCAGACUGAUAGGGAUAAUUUCCCCUCUCAGUCAGGUUGGGUCUUUACCUUAAAUGGAGGAUCAAUUGCUUGGAAAAGUUCCAAGCACGAGACAGUGGCCGGUUCAACUUGCAAAUUAGAGUAUAUAGCGGCAAGCGAGGCAGCAAAGGAGGCUAUAUGGCUAAAGAACUUCAUUGGAGACCUUGGAGUUUUACCAGAUAUAAAGCAGCCUAUGAAGAUUUUCUGUGAUAGUGAAAGUGCAGUUGCCUUAGCCAAGGAACCAAGGGAUCACGGAAGAUCCAAACACAUCGACAGAAAAUACCAUUUCAUUAUACAUCGAAUAGAAUACGGAUUCCUCGUAGAAAAGAGGGUAUCAUCGGAUGAGAACCCAAUACAUCCCCUCACGAAGGGACUGGGUAGGUUUAAGCGUCUUCAACACGCAAGGCGCGUAGGGCUAAAGGAUGAUAUUAGUUUUAGAAAUUAGAUAGCUUUGAAAUUUGUAAAGUGUAAUUGACAUUUGAUGGUAAAUAAAAGUUAUUGUUUAUUUAUAAGUAAAGUGUUGCUAUCUUCUGUCAAUCGUUUACUAUCAUUUCAAUUUGCAUGUUUUGACUUCCAGAAUAAUUAUGUUAUGGUAUAUCAUAUUAUUCAAAUUCUCCACAGUCGGUCAUAUGUUGGAAGUAGAUAUGAAUUAAGACUGUCAUGAAGUUGGCUUGUAGAUGUCUAAGGUGUUGGACAUAUCAAGAGUUGCUACAACAUUCAUGAGUGCUCAUAAGUUCUGAGUAUUGGAUUCAACCCACGCUCACUUGUAUCACUUCAUGGAAUUUAUCUCGAGUGAUCGUGAGACGGUAAUAUCAUAUAAGUCUUCAAACCUAGAGAUAUGAGUUGUUGACUAUGAGUUGGUUAUACAUUGAUUGCACGAAAACGCAUUGGUAACUCGAGGUUAUAAAACGUGCCUUUGUGUAUGAUUCAACAAGUAGUAGAACAAACUUAUGAGUCGAAGUUUAUCUAUUCCGUCUUGGAUUAGAAGAGAUAUUUGAGCCCCUCGAUGAUUUUGUGUUGACCUAUGUACCGGGCCCCGUCAGAACUAAAUUGAUGUGUUCAAUUAAGUUCCGUGUCAAACAAAUCGGAAAUCGGGAAACAAACUGAUGGACAAAAAUUAAGACAUUGUUCCAUGUAUUUGUCUGGCCGAUAUCUAGAAUAGAGGAUUAUAUGAUCACUUAUCUUAAAUAGCGUAUCAUCAUCAUCUCAGUUCUGCGAGACCUUAAAAGAGCUACGAUUGCUGAUCGGUUCNUGCUGAUCGGUCCUGAAGUUAUUCUUGCAGUUAUAGUUAUUAGACUUAUCCAAGUGGAAGACUUUUGGAUUAGGUGUCUAGGUCAUAACUAUGUGAGAAAGGACUUGGAUACACUAAAUGUGAGAAAGGACACUUAAGUUCUAAUAUAUUAAUAAUAUUAUUUAAUUAGGUUGCAUGGCAUUACAACACUUGGAUAGACUAAAUGUGAGAAAGGACACUUAAGCUUUAUUAAUAUAUUAUAAGUUCUAAUAUAUUAAUAAUAUUAUUUAAUUAGUAUUGAUCAAGAAUUAAUUUAGAAUUAAUUUGGUGAUCAAAAGGAGACUAAUUAAAUAUAUGGGGUUGAUUGUGUAAAUUAUCCAUUCUUUUAUAGUGGGCUAAUGAUCCAUGGUUUAUUGAAUUGGGCUAAAACCCAUAAGGUGCUUCAUGGAUAGUCCAUGGAGGUUAUAAACCCAUGGAUCAUGGAAUAUGAAAGGCCAUGUCAAAUAGGGUUUACAUGUUGUAACCCUAGUUGUGACACAACUAUAAAAGGACCUCAUGGCUAGCAAAAUCGGCACUACUAAGAUAGAACAAGAGGGCUAGCCGAUUUUGAGUGUUAGUGAACUUCUCUCAAGGUUAUUCCAAGAGUUGUGGUGUUGUGUGAAACAUUUGAGGCAUCACACUUGAGGUGCUAGGCUCACAAGCUUCUCAAGGAAUCUAAGCAACAAAAAAGGUAUGUUCUCCUACUAGCUUUUAUGUUUCAAAGUUCCCCAUGCCAUGCUAGUUAGGUUAAGAACCUUGGAAAAUCAAAUUUGCAUGUAUCUUAGUAAAACAUAGAUCCAAGGUUUCUAGGGUUGCAUGUACACCUUAGGAGUGUUAUAAUGCUCAAAACCUUCACUUACCAUGUCAAUCAAUACACCAAAUCAGACGUUUGGUACGCAGUGACGAGAAUUGGGAAAGCUUUAUUUACUAUAGUCAUAUAAAUCUAUUUAUCAUUUUUAAAAGUUACAUGUCAGUUCUAAUACCGUAAUU
Molecule: long non-coding RNA, 7887 nt
Filed under: Lactuca sativa (garden lettuce)
Lineage: Eukaryota; Viridiplantae; Streptophyta; Magnoliopsida; Asterales; Asteraceae
Description: long non-coding RNA (LSAT_LNC007830)
Source: RNAcentral